Molecule: long non-coding RNA, 119 nt
Organism: Poecilia latipinna (sailfin molly)
Lineage: Eukaryota; Metazoa; Chordata; Actinopteri; Cyprinodontiformes; Poeciliidae
Exons: 4
Source: RefSeq, a predicted model, not a curated record
AGGGGUGUCCAAAGUGCGGCCGAGGGGCCGUUUGUGUCCGUUGGACUGACUUUGUGUGGCCCCCAACUGCAAUUAAAAAAUGAUAAAAAUUUGGCUCAGAGAUGGCGAAUUAUAAUUUG